RNAcentral lists this unclassified non-coding RNA (380 nucleotides) under Hevea brasiliensis (rubber tree). Lineage: Eukaryota; Viridiplantae; Streptophyta; Magnoliopsida; Malpighiales; Euphorbiaceae. The record is from RNAcentral.
GGUGAUGUGAAAUAGGAUUUUGGGUUUGUAUUAUAUAUUAUAUAUUGUUAUAAAGGUUUAAGAAAUUGAAUUUAAUUUAGGCGUGAGAGUAAUCAGGUAGCAAGCAAGAAGAACCUCUGCCUCUUGCUUUUGAUUCGAAAAUUGGAAGUAGAAGGGGAAGUAGCAAUCCUAGCAAGCAACAGCCUAAGAGAGUGUUUGAUAGAAUGAGUAGUGCAAACAACAUUAAUGGAUUGAAGGGAUAAAAUGCAUUUAAUUCUGCCACCCAAACUAGUUAUUUUAGCCUCCAUUGUUGUUAGUUUCAGGUUCUUGAGACCCCUGUUUAGUUCUGAGAACAAUUCAGGCCGAUCAUCACACGAAAAAGAAACCUUCACAACUAUGUU